AGUUGGAUAGCUGGGUCAAAAGGUGGUUCUAUUCCCAGUUUUCCAAGAGAUCGCCAUACUGCUUUCCAGAAUGGCUGUACCAUUUUGCAAUUCCACCAGCAAU
This 103-nucleotide microRNA precursor is filed under the name Marmota monax (woodchuck). The record is from RNAcentral. Lineage: Eukaryota; Metazoa; Chordata; Mammalia; Rodentia; Sciuridae.